UGCCAGCAGCCGCGGUAAUAUUUAAGGUGCAAUCGUGAAUCGGAAUCACUGGGCGUAAAGCGCUCGUAGGUGGCUUUGUAAGUCAGAUGUGAAAGCCCACGGCUCAACCGUGGAAUUGCAUUUGAUACUGCAUCGCUAGAGUAUAGGAGAGGGAAGUGGAAUUUCUGGUGUAGGAGUGAAAUCCGUAGAGAUCAGAAGGAACACCGGUUGCGAAGGCGACUUCCUGGACUAUUACUGACACUGAGGGGCGGAAGCGGGGGGAACAAACAGGGUGAGAUA
Molecule: ribosomal RNA, 279 nt
Filed under: uncultured bacterium
Lineage: Bacteria
Description: partial 16S ribosomal RNA
Rfam family: Bacterial small subunit ribosomal RNA
Source: RNAcentral